RNAcentral lists this ribosomal RNA (513 nucleotides) under uncultured Lactobacillus sp. Its description in RNAcentral is "bacterial SSU rRNA". It matches the Rfam family "Bacterial small subunit ribosomal RNA", at positions 57 to 524 of the family's 1533-position model. Lineage: Bacteria; Bacillati; Bacillota; Bacilli; Lactobacillales; Lactobacillaceae. The record is from RNAcentral.
GCAAGUCGAGCGAGCUUGCCUAUAGAAGUUCUUCGGAAUGGAAAUAGAUACAAGCUAGCGGCGGAUGGGUGAGUAAACGCGUGGGUAACCCUGCCUUAAGGUCUGGGGAUACCAUUUGGAAACAGAUGCUAAUACCGGAUAAAAGCUACUUUCGCAUGAAAGAAGUUUAAAAGGCGGCGUAAAGCUGUCGCUAAAGGGAUGGGACCUGCGAUGCAUUAGCUAGUUGGUAAGGUAACGGCUUACCAAGGCGAUGAUGCAUAGCCCGAGUUGAGAGACUGAUCGGGCCACAUUGGGGACUGAGACACGGGCCCAAAACUCCUACGGGGAGGCAGCAGUAGGGAAUCUUCCACAAUGGACGAAAGUCUGAUGGAGCAACGCCGCGUGAGUGAAGAAGGUUUUCGGAUCGUAAAAGCUCUGUUGUUGGUGAAGAAGGAUAGAGGUAGUAACUGGCCUUUAUUUGACGGUAAUCAACCAGAAAGUCACGGCUAACUACGUGCCAGCAGCCGCGGUAAU